This 434-nucleotide ribosomal RNA is filed under the name uncultured Lachnospiraceae bacterium. RNAcentral's name for it is "bacterial SSU rRNA". It matches the Rfam family "Bacterial small subunit ribosomal RNA", at positions 341 to 792 of the family's 1533-position model. The record is from RNAcentral. Lineage: Bacteria; Bacillati; Bacillota; Clostridia; Lachnospirales; Lachnospiraceae.
ACGGAAGGCAGCAGUGGGGAAUAUUGGACAAUGGGGGAAACCCUGAUCCAGCGACGCCGCGUGAGUGAAGAAGUAUUUCGGUAUGUAAAGCUCUAUCAGCAAGGAAGAAAAUGACGGUACUUGACUAAGAAGCCCCGGCUAACUACGUGCCAGCAGCCGCGGUAGUACGUAGGGGGCAAGCGUUAUCCGGAUUUACUGGGUGUAAAGGGAGCGUAGACGGUAUGGCAAGUCUGAAGUGAAAUGCAUGGGCUCAACCCAUGAACUGCUUUGGAAACUGUCAAACUAGAGUGCAGGAGAGGUAAGUGGAAUUCCUAGUGUAGCGGUGAAAUGCGUAGAUAUUAGGAGGAACACCAGUGGCGAAGGCGGCUUACUGGACUGUAACUGACGUUGAGGCUCGAAAGCGUGGGGAGCAAACAGGAUUAGAUACCCUGGUA